This 1364-nucleotide long non-coding RNA is filed under the name Homo sapiens (human). Its description in RNAcentral is "small nucleolar RNA host gene 17". The record is from RNAcentral. Lineage: Eukaryota; Metazoa; Chordata; Mammalia; Primates; Hominidae.
GUAGCUUCCUUGUCGUGUGGCCUCAGUCCUUCGCCGUCCCUCGCCGUCCUUCGCCAUCGCACGCCACCGCACCCCAUCUCUCGAAAUCUGCAGACAUCUUGAUUUUUCCCACGCUGUCUGUCAGGUCUCCGCCGCCACUCGACGCCAGGGCGCCGGGUGAGUCCACAGCAGGGCGCAUGGUCGGCUCCACUCUCACCAUCGGGGGAAACUGAGGCCCCGGGGAAGGCGGCCAGAGAGGUCAGGCCCUGUCCUUGGUGCAGUGUCUCGUCCUCUUUGCCGGAGUGAGCCCCCCAGGAUUCGCGUGUCCUCGGGAAAGACACUGGCAGGCCUUGUGGGCUGUGCUGCACCUCGGACGGCUUCGCACCAGCCAGCGCCCUCUCUCUCCUGCAGCACUCUGAUCUGCACCCCCUGAGGGGCUUCCACUGUCCGCGGGGUGAGAAUGCCCCUGGGAGUGUCACAUGACUGCCGCCCCAUGUGUGUGAGAGGCGUCCUCUGGGAGAGCAUGGAUCCUGAGGUCCCAGGAACAUCCCGAGAGCCAAGUUCCCAGAUGCCAGCCAAGGGCCAUCUGACCUGUUUUGAAUCUCAAUUUCCUGAUACAGAAAACAAAGGAUUGUCAGCUGACCUCUGUCCUGUGUGCCCAGUGGCCCCAGGUGACGUGUCUUCAAGAAGAGGCUGAGCUGCGGUGCUUGUAAGGGUCUCAUUCUGUCACCCAGGCUGGAGUGCAGUGGUGCAAUGAUGGCUCACUGCAGCCUCGACCUGGGCUCAAGUGAUCCUCCACCUCAGCUUCCUGAGUAGCUGGGACCACAGAGUCAUGUGCUGUUCCUGGGGCUUGGAUGAUGUAGGGGAAGCAAGGUGAAAGUGGUAUCCCGUGGUUCCACGUUCUGUCCUGCUGUGGGGCUGUCCCUCACAUGCUUUCAGUGGCUGUUGCAGAGGAAGAGCCUCCGGAAAUCUGCGUGGGUAAAGUCUCAGCCUUAGAUCCAAGGACAGUCCAAGGAAGUCCUAAGACCAUGGAGUUGGUGAUCUGGGAUCUGGGUUUGCUGAUAUUUCUCACCGUGAAUCUCUUGGUGGUGUUUGUGGGCACGAGAGGGGCAGAGAAUGGAGAGUGAGGCUACCACAUGAAGCGUCACCAGAGCUGCUCCCUGCUGCCUGCUCAGAGCACCCCGGAUCCACUGUUCAAUCUGCACAAGAUUCGGGGUCCAGACAUGGGAGACUUCAGCUGCCUCAGAGGACCGUGGACAGGGAAGGCCAGCCUCGCAUCCCUCUGUCCAUGCCUGGAAUGACUUUAAUAACCAAGAGUUUUAUUUUUGAAUUUGUAGCUGUCGUUCACUUUUUACCCACCCAUUCAAUAAACCUUACAGAAUUGC